UACGAAGGGGGCUAGCGUUGUUCGGAAUCACUGGGCGUAAAGCGCACGUAGGCGGGUUCUUAAGUCAGGGGUGAAAUCCCGAGGCUCAACCUCGGAACUGCCUUUGAUACUGAGAGUCUUGAGUUCGGAAGAGGUUGGUGGAACUGCGAGUGUAGAGGUGAAAUUCGUAGAUAUUCGCAAGAACACCAGUGGCGAAGGCGGCCAACUGGUCCGAUACUGACGCUGAGGAGCGAAAAGCGUGGGUAGCAAACAGG
This 254-nucleotide ribosomal RNA is filed under the name uncultured bacterium. Its description in RNAcentral is "partial 16S ribosomal RNA". It matches the Rfam family "Bacterial small subunit ribosomal RNA", at positions 524 to 776 of the family's 1533-position model. The record is from RNAcentral.